This 2933-nucleotide ribosomal RNA is filed under the name Salmonella enterica subsp. enterica serovar Choleraesuis. RNAcentral's name for it is "bacterial LSU rRNA". It matches the Rfam family "Bacterial large subunit ribosomal RNA". The record is from RNAcentral. Lineage: Bacteria; Pseudomonadati; Pseudomonadota; Gammaproteobacteria; Enterobacterales; Enterobacteriaceae.
GGGUUGUGAGGUUAAGCGACUAAGCGUACACGGUGGAUGCCCUGGCAGUCAGAGGCGAUGAAGGGCGUGCUAAUCUGCGAUAAGCGCCGGUAAGGUGAUAUGAACCGUUAUAACCGGCGAUACCCGAAUGGGGAAACCCAGUGUGACUCGUCACACUAUCAUUAACUGAAUCCAUAGGUUAAUGAGGCGAACCGGGGGAACUGAAACAUCUAAGUACCCCGAGGAAAAGAAAUCAACCGAGAUUCCCCCAGUAGCGGCGAGCGAACGGGGAGGAGCCCAGAGCCUGAAUCAGCAUGUGUGUUAGUGGAAGCGUCUGGAAAGGCGCGCGAUACAGGGUGACAGCCCCGUACACAAAAGCGCAUGUGCUGUGAGCUCGAUGAGUAGGGCGGGACACGUGGUAUCCUGUCUGAAUAUGGGGGGACCAUCCUCCAAGGCUAAAUACUCCUGACUGACCGAUAGUGAACCAGUACCGUGAGGGAAAGGCGAAAAGAACCCCGGCGAGGGGAGUGAAAAAGAACCUGAAACCGUGUACGUACAAGCAGUGGGAGCACAGGUUUACCUGUGUGACUGCGUACCUUUUGUAUAAUGGGUCAGCGACUUAUAUUCUGUAGCAAGGUUAACCGUAUAGGGGAGCCGUAGGGAAACCGAGUCUUAACCGGGCGUUAAGUUGCAGGGUAUAGACCCGAAACCCGGUGAUCUAGCCAUGGGCAGGUUGAAGGUUGGGUAACACUAACUGGAGGACCGAACCGACUAAUGUUGAAAAAUUAGCGGAUGACCUGUGGCUGGGGGUGAAAGGCCAAUCAAACCGGGAGAUAGCUGGUUCUCCCCGAAAGCUAUUUAGGUAGCGCCUCGUGAAUUCAUCUCCGGGGGUAGAGCACUGUUUCGGCUAGGGGGCCAUCCCGGCUUACCAACCCGAUGCAAACUGCGAAUACCGGAGAAUGUUAUCACGGGAGACACACGGCGGGUGCUAACGUCCGUCGUGAAGAGGGAAACAACCCAGACCGCCAGCUAAGGUCCCAAAGUCAUGGUUAAGUGGGAAACGAUGUGGGAAGGCCCAGACAGCCAGGAUGUUGGCUUAGAAGCAGCCAUCAUUUAAAGAAAGCGUAAUAGCUCACUGGUCGAGUCGGCCUGCGCGGAAGAUGUAACGGGGCUAAACCAUGCACCGAAGCUGCGGCAGCGACGCUGAUGCGUUGUUGGGUAGGGGAGCGUUCUGUAAGCCUGUGAAGGUGGCCUGUGAGGGUUGCUGGAGGUAUCAGAAGUGCGAAUGCUGACAUAAGUAACGAUAAAGCGGGUGAAAAGCCCGCUCGCCGGAAGACCAAGGGUUCCUGUCCAACGUUAAUCGGGGCAGGGUGAGUCGACCCCUAAGGCGAGGCCGAAAGGCGUAGUCGAUGGGAAACGGGUUAAUAUUCCCGUACUUGGUGUUACUGCGAAGGGGGGACGGAGAAGGCUAUGUUGGCCGGGCGACGGUUGUCCCGGUUUAAGCGUGUAGGUGUGUGUUCCAGGUAAAUCCGGUUCACUUUAACACUGAGGCGUGAUGACGAGGCACUACGGUGCUGAAGCAACAAAUGCCCUGCUUCCAGGAAAAGCCUCUAAGCAUCAGGUAACAUCAAAUCGUACCCCAAACCGACACAGGUGGUCAGGUAGAGAAUACCAAGGCGCUUGAGAGAACUCGGGUGAAGGAACUAGGCAAAAUGGUGCCGUAACUUCGGGAGAAGGCACGCUGACACGUAGGUGAAGUGAUUUACUCAUGGAGCUGAAGUCAGUCGAAGAUACCAGCUGGCUGCAACUGUUUAUUAAAAACACAGCACUGUGCAAACACGAAAGUGGACGUAUACGGUGUGACGCCUGCCCGGUGCCGGAAGGUUAAUUGAUGGGGUCAGCGCAAGCGAAGCUCCUGAUCGAAGCCCCGGUAAACGGCGGCCGUAACUAUAACGGUCCUAAGGUAGCGAAAUUCCUUGUCGGGUAAGUUCCGACCUGCACGAAUGGCGUAAUGAUGGCCAGGCUGGUCUCCACCCGAGACUCAGUGAAAUUGAACUCGCUGUGAAGAUGCAGUGUACCCGCGGCAAGACGGAAAGACCCCGUGAACCUUUACUAUAGCUUGACACUGAACAUUGAGCCUUGAUGUGUAGGAUAGGUGGGAGGCUUUGAAGCGUGGACGCCAGUCUGCAUGGAGCCGGCCUUGAAAUACCACCCUUUAAUGUUUGAUGUUCUAACGUGGACCCGUGAUCCGGGUUGCGGACAGUGUCUGGUGGGUAGUUUGACGUGGGGCGGUCGCCGUCCUAAAGAGUAUACGGAGGAGCACGAAGGUUGGCUAAUCCUGGUCGGACAUCAGGAGGUUAGUGCAAUGGCAUAAGCCAGCUUGACUGCGAGCGUGACGGCGCGAGCAGGUGCGAAAGCAGGUCAUAGUGAUCCGGUGGUUCUGAAUGGAAGGGCCAUCGCUCAACGGAUAAAAGGUACUCCGGGGAUAACAGGCUGAUACCGCCCAAGAGUUCAUAUCGACGGCGGUGUUUGGCACCUCGAUGUCGGCUCAUCACAUCCUGGGGCUGAAGUAGGUCCCAAGGGUAUGGCUGUUCGCCAUUUAAAGUGGUACGCGAGCUGGGUUUAGAACGUCGUGAGACAGUUCGGUCCCUAUCUGCCGUGGGCGCUGGAGAACUGAGGGGGGCUGCUCCUAGUACGAGAGGACCGGAGUGGACGCAUCACUGGUGUUCGGGUUGUCAUGCCAAUGGCACUGCCCGGUAGCUAAAUGCGGAAGAGAUAAGUGCUGAAAGCAUCUAAGCACGAAACUUGCCCCGAGAUGAGUUCUCCCUGAGACUUAGAGUCUCCUGAAGGAACGUUGAAGACGACGACGUUGAUAGGCCGGGUGUGUAAGCGCAGCGAUGCGUUGAGCUAACCGGUACUAAUGAACCGUGAGGCUUAACCUUACAACGCCGAAG